RNAcentral lists this ribosomal RNA (447 nucleotides) under uncultured bacterium. RNAcentral's name for it is "bacterial SSU rRNA". It matches the Rfam family "Bacterial small subunit ribosomal RNA", at positions 329 to 793 of the family's 1533-position model. The record is from RNAcentral.
UUCCAGACUCCUACGGGAGGCAGCAGUGGGGAAUAUUGCACAAUGGGGGAAACCCUGAUGCAGCGACGCCGCGUGAGUGAAGAAGUAUCUCGGUACGUAAAGCUCUAUCAGCAGGGAAGAUAAUGACGGUACCUGACCAAGAAGCCCCGGCUAACUACGUACCAGCAGCCGCGGUAAUACGGAGGAUCCGAGCGUUAUCCGGAUUCACUGGGCGUAAAGGGAGCGCAGGCGGCAUGGCAAGUCUGAUGUGAAAACCCGGGGCCCAACCCCGGGAGUGCAUUGGAAACUGCCAGGCUGGAGUGUCGGAGGGGUAAGCGGAAUUCCUAGUGUAGCGGUGAAAUGCGUAGAUAUUAGGAGGAACACCAGUGGCGAAGGCGGCUUACUGGACUGUAACUGACGUUGAGGCUCGAAAGCGUGGGGAGCAAACAGGAUUAGAUACCCCCGUAU